Molecule: long non-coding RNA, 2000 nt
Filed under: Pan troglodytes (chimpanzee)
Lineage: Eukaryota; Metazoa; Chordata; Mammalia; Primates; Hominidae
Description: long non-coding RNA NONPTRT002914
Source: RNAcentral
GUAGGGCAGUGUUGAGUUUUCAGAAGGCAAGUGUAUUUGCUAGAAGAGUGAGCUGGGAGGUGUGAACCACAUCGUCACAUCUGCUGUAAGCCUAGCCAUUCAUAAUACGGAGUUACAGUUAGGACACGUCGCAUUGAAGAGCUACCAUCGAAUGUGCGCUCAUCAAAUGCCUGGCAGCGUCCUCGGUGCUUCACCUGCCAUAGCCGACUGUGGCUGACCUCCCAUGCCUGUUGCCUUUUCUUUCUGUUGGAUCAGGGAUACACUGCCAUGUGUGUUAAGAAAAGCUGGCCUUACCUACAGGGCUGGCCAGUCCCGGUCACAUUUCUAGUAAGCCAUUGCCUUACAUAAGGGUAACGGCAUGGGACGCUAUCUUAGCCAAUGUGAUAAAAGUGGACAUGAGGUGAGAGGCUUCAGAGAGAGGUUUUAAAAAAGAGACAAAAGCAGGACGUUGCCUCUCUUCCUCCUCUCCAUGUGUCCUACCCGGAUGUGAAGCCAAAACAGAUGCAGGCUUACUGCAACCAUGGGGAACCCAGCAUAAGCACAGAUUCAACAGCAGAAGAGUGGCAGAGGGAGAAGGUGAAAGGAACCUAGGUUUUCCUGUCCUUGUUGAGUCAUUCAAUUAAAAAUCCCUGGAAUUUUCCUCUCUCUGGCAGUGUGUUUUGUGGGAUAAUGAGUUGCCUUAUUGGGGUUGGCUUGCUAAUCGGGAUGUUUCGCUCCCAUCAACAUCCAUACGCUUGCUCUGUGAACCAAUGACCUGAUGAGGUAGUAUUAGCACCACCAUCAUUAUGCUGAGGAUGAGAUUUAUGGCACAGUGGUUCAGUAGCUUGCCCAAGGCCAUGCGGCUGGUAGGUUCUGGAGGAGGGCUCAGGGCACCCCCUGAGCUACCCCUGCUGGCCAUUGCACCACCCCAUAAAGCUGCUGGCAGUCACUUCUCUGAGGGGUUAGCAUGUAAGAAAUGUCCUCCUGAAUGCUGGCCAGACAAAUGGAAAUCUGCCAGGGUUGGGUACCCCCAUGACAGCAGCCAGCCUGCCCUCUUAGUCCCUGACAGCUGCAGUGACAGCAUCUGUGAUUGCAAAGCGUGACAAUUUAUAUCUCUCAUUUCAUCACACCAUCUAUCAGCAGACAGUCAGGCUUUAAAAAUCAAUCCCACACUGACUCAGUCCCCAGCAGAGAUGGCCUCUGACAACAGUAUCCACACUGCAGGCUGGACAAGGGCCCUAUUAAUUUUGAGACUCAGCCAAAUUUCCUUCUGACCCUAAGCUGGUGAAUCCCUGCUCCUUUGCUUUGGUUGGGGUUGGUGUGAGCUAAGGCUGUGAUCCCAUUUGUUCCUAUGGCCUCCAGGUGGCCUGGGCCUCCAUGAAUGGGCCACAUGGUCAUACUGAAUGCUUGAUUACACUCAGACCUAGCAGUCGUCUGGGCGCAGCUGGUUUAUGGAUCACUUUGUCACAAUGUUCCAUCCUUCCAGGUCCCCAUCCCCGCGGUGGGAAAACAUUGCUUUAGGCAGUGCUAGAGGACUUCAGCAGGCAUUGGCAGCUUCUGGAUUCAGGAUUAGAACCAAGAAGGAGGAGUCACAGCAAAGAUAGGAACAGAAGGCAGAGAGAACAGACAGAUGGGGGUGUUUGAGAAGGAGGGCCUUUGAGACCUCAGGGAGUGGGAGACACUGGCUCGAGAAUAAUAAUAAUGGCAAUUUCUCUCAUCUGUGUUUUCAGGGCAUGGACUGGAACUCCCAAUACCCCUGACAUGGGCUGAGUCAACGUGGUCACGAACAUGUGACAGGAGGCAGCAGAAGUUGCAGAGAAGAGUGAGGCACGUUUGAAAAAGGCUGAAAAAUGUUUCUGUCCAGGCAAGGGUGUGUGCUGAACGACUCAAGGAUUUUUUGGGUAUGUCAUUUCCCAUUUCUCACCCCCAAAUAGGACUCCACUUCCCAUCUAAGCAUUUGUAUAAAUAUUGAUUAUUGGUUAGUGUGUAUCAGAGUCCUAUUGAGUAAAAAUUAUAUGAGA